RNAcentral lists this ribosomal RNA (508 nucleotides) under uncultured bacterium. Its description in RNAcentral is "partial 16S ribosomal RNA". It matches the Rfam family "Bacterial small subunit ribosomal RNA", at positions 30 to 523 of the family's 1533-position model. The record is from RNAcentral.
AUUGAACGCUGGCGGCAUGCCUUACACAUGCAAGUCGAACGGCAGCGGGGGAGAAGCUUGCUUUUCCUGCCGGCGAGUGGCGAACGGGUGAGUAAUACAUCGGAACGUGCCCUGUAGUGGGGGAUAACUAGUCGAAAGAUUAGCUAAUACCGCAUACGACCUGAGGGUGAAAGUGGGGGACCGCAAGGCCUCAUGCUAUAGGAGCGGCCGAUGUCUGAUUAGCUAGUUGGUGGGGUAAAGGCCUACCAAGGCGACGAUCAGUAGCUGGUCUGAGAGGCAGAUCAGCCACACUGGGUCUGAGACACGGCCCAGACUCCUACGGGAGGCAGCAGUGGGGAAUUUUGGACAAUGGGCGAAAGCCUGAUCCAGCAAUGCCGCGUGUGUGAAGAAGGCCUUCGGGUUGUAAAGCACUUUUGUCCGGAAAGAAAUGGCUCUGGUUAAUACCUGGGGUCGAUGACGGUACCGGAAGAAUAAGGACCGGCUAACUACGUGCCAGCAGCCGCCGUAA